GACGAACGCUGGCGGCGUGCUUAACACAUGCAAGUCGAGCAGUAAGGCCCCUUCGGGGUACGACGAGCGGCGAACGGGUGAGUAACACGUGGGUGACCUGCCCUCAGCUCUGGGAUAAGCCUGGGAAACUGGGUCUAAUACCGGAUAUGACUCCAUGACGCAUGUCGUGGGGUGGAAAGCCUUGUGCGGCUGGGGAUGGGCCCGCGGCCUAUCAGCUUGUUGGUGGGGUGANGGCCUACCAAGGCGACGACGGGUAGCCGGCCUGAGAGGGCGACCGGCCACACUGGGACUGAGACACGGCCCAGACUCCUACGGGAGGCAGCAGUGGGGAAUCUUGCGCAAUGGGCGAAAGCCUGACGCAGCGACGCCGCGUGAGGGAUGACGGCCUGGUGUAAC
RNAcentral lists this ribosomal RNA (396 nucleotides) under uncultured bacterium. Its description in RNAcentral is "bacterial SSU rRNA". It matches the Rfam family "Bacterial small subunit ribosomal RNA", at positions 28 to 429 of the family's 1533-position model. The record is from RNAcentral.